CCAGACUCCUACGGGAGGCAGCAGUGGGGGAUAUUGCACAAUGGGGGAAACCCUGAUGCAGCGACGCCGCGUGUGGGAAGACGGUCCUCUGGAUUGUAAACCACUGUCCCCAGGGACGAAAAUGACGGUACCUGGGGAGGAAGCUCCGGCUAACUACGUGCCAGCAGCCGCGGUAAUACGGAGGAUGCGAGCGUUAUCCGGAUUUAUUGGGUUUAAAGGGUGCGUAGGCGGUCCGGAAAGUCAGCGGUAAAACCCGGGGGCCCACCCCCGGCGAGCCGUUGAAACUGUCGGACUAGAGACGGCGAGAAGUACGCGGAAUGCGCGGUGUAGCGGUGAAAUGCAUAGAUAUCGCGCAGAACUCCGAUUGCGAAGGCAGCGUACCGGCGCCGGACUGACGCUGAGGCACGAAAGCGUGGGUAUCGAACAGGAUUAGAUACCCGCGUAU
This 445-nucleotide ribosomal RNA is filed under the name uncultured bacterium. RNAcentral describes it as "partial 16S ribosomal RNA". It matches the Rfam family "Bacterial small subunit ribosomal RNA", at positions 331 to 793 of the family's 1533-position model. The record is from RNAcentral.